This 484-nucleotide ribosomal RNA is filed under the name uncultured bacterium. RNAcentral describes it as "partial 16S ribosomal RNA". It matches the Rfam family "Bacterial small subunit ribosomal RNA", at positions 28 to 523 of the family's 1533-position model. The record is from RNAcentral.
GACGUACGCUGGCGGCGUGCUUAACACAUGCAAGUCGAACGAUGAACCCGGAGCUUGCUCCGGUGGAUUAGUGGCGAACGGGUGAGUAACACGUGAGUAACCUGCCCUUGACUCUGGGAUAACUGCGGGAAACUGUAGCUAAUACCGGAUACGACCCUCGGCGGCAUCGCCAGGGGGUGGAAAGAAUUUCGGUCAAGGAUGGACUCGCGGCCUAUCAGCUAGUUGGUGAGGUAACGGCUCACCAAGGCGACGACGGGUAGCCGGCCUGAGAGGGUGACCGGCCACACUGGGACUGAGACACGGCCCAGACUCCUACGGGAGGCAGCAGUGGGGAAUAUUGCGCAAUGGGCGAAAGCCUGACGCAGCGACGCCGCGUGAGGGAUGAAGGUCUUCGGAUCGUAAACCUCUUUCAGUAGGGACGAAGCGAAAGUGACGGUACCUAAAGAAGAAGCACCGGCUAACUACGUGCCAGCAGCCGCCGUAA